AUUGAACGCUGGCGGCAGGCCUAACACAUGCAAGUCGAGCGGAAGAAGGGAGCUUGCUCCUGGAUUCAGCGGCGGACGGGUGAGUAAUGCCUAGGAAUCUGCCUGGUUGUGGGGGAUAACGUCCGGAAACGGGCGCUAAUACCGCAUACGUGCUGAGGGAGAAAGUGGGGGAUCUUCGGACCUUACGCUAUCAGAUGAGCCUAGGUCGGAUUAGCUAGUUGGUGGGGUAAAGGCCUACCAAGGCGACGAUCCGUAACUGGUCUGAGAGGAUGAUCAGUCACACUGGAACUGAGACACGGUCCAGACUCCUACGGGAGGCAGCAGUGGGGAAUAUUGGACAAUGGGCGAAAGCCUGAUCCAGCCAUGCCGCGUGUGUGAAGAAGGUCUUCGGAUUGUAAAGCACUUUAAGUUGGGAGGAAGGGCAGUAAGUUAAUACCUUGCUGUUUUGACGUUACCAACAGAAUAAGCACCGGCUAACUUCGUG
Molecule: ribosomal RNA, 484 nt
Filed under: uncultured bacterium
Lineage: Bacteria
Description: partial 16S ribosomal RNA
Rfam family: Bacterial small subunit ribosomal RNA
Source: RNAcentral